CGGAGGGUGCAAGCGUUAUCCGGAUUCACUGGGUUUAAAGGGUGCGUAGGCGGGUAUGUAAGUCAGCGGUGAAAUCCCCGAGCUUAACUUGGGAACUGCCGUUGAUACUAUAUAUCUUGAAUGUCGUGGAGGUUAGCGGAAUAUGUCAUGUAGCGGUGAAAUGCUUAGAUAUGACAUAGAACACCCAUUGCGAAGGCAGCUAACUACGCGAAUAUUGACGCUGAGGCACGAAAGCGUGGGGAUCAAACAGGAUUAGAUACCCUGGUAGUCCACGCCCUAAACGAUGAUUACUCGACACUGGCGAUACACUGUCAGUGUCUGAGCGAAAGCAUUAAGUAAUCCACCUGGGAAGUACGACCGCAAGGUUG
This 368-nucleotide ribosomal RNA is filed under the name uncultured organism. Its description in RNAcentral is "bacterial SSU rRNA". It matches the Rfam family "Bacterial small subunit ribosomal RNA", at positions 526 to 896 of the family's 1533-position model. The record is from RNAcentral.